AAUAUAAUUGCUUAGUGGUUAGAGCGUCCGCUUUGUAUGUGGGAGGUCGUGGGUUCAAUCCCAGGUCGACUCAUACCA
Molecule: non-coding RNA, 78 nt
Organism: Potamilus streckersoni
Lineage: Eukaryota; Metazoa; Mollusca; Bivalvia; Unionida; Unionidae
Source: the annotation of a GenBank genome assembly